RNAcentral lists this ribosomal RNA (176 nucleotides) under Amblyomma auricularium. RNAcentral describes it as "partial 16S ribosomal RNA". The record is from RNAcentral. Lineage: Eukaryota; Metazoa; Arthropoda; Arachnida; Ixodida; Ixodidae.
CUAAGAAUUUUAUAAAAUUAAUUUUCCAAAUUUGGAAAAUUAAUUUUUUUAAUUGGGGCGAUUAAUUAAAAUUAAAAACUUUUUUUUUUAAAAAAAAGAACCGUUAAUAGCGGUCUAAUGGUAAAAUACUCUAGGGAUAACAGCGUAAUAAUUUUUGAUAGUUCAUAUUGACAAAA